AUGAACGCUGGCGGCGUGCCUCAUCCAUGCAAGUUGAGCGAACAGACGAGGAGCUUGCUCCUCUGACGUUAGCGGCGGACGGGUGAGUAACACGUGGAUAACCUACCUAUAAGACUGGGAUAACUUCGGGAAACCGGAGCUAAUACCGGAUAAUAUAUUGAACCGCAUGGUUCAAUAGUGAAAGACGGUUUUGCUGUCACUUAUAGAUGGAUCCGCGCCGCAUUAGCUAGUUGGUAAGGUAACGGCUUACCAAGGCAACGAUGCGUAGCCGACCUGAGAGGGUGAUCGGCCACACUGGAACUGAGACACGGUCCAGACUCCUACGGGAGGCAGCAGUAGGGAAUCUUCCGCAAUGGGCGAAAGCCUGACGGAGCAACGCCGCGUGAGUGAUGAAGGUCUUCGGAUCGUAAAACUCUGUUAUUAGGGAAGAACAAAUGUGUAAGUAACUAUGCACGUCUUGACGGUACCUAAUCAGAAAGCCACGGCUAACUACGUG
This 496-nucleotide ribosomal RNA is filed under the name uncultured bacterium. RNAcentral describes it as "partial 16S ribosomal RNA". It matches the Rfam family "Bacterial small subunit ribosomal RNA", at positions 29 to 507 of the family's 1533-position model. The record is from RNAcentral.